Molecule: ribosomal RNA, 1889 nt
Filed under: marine metagenome
Description: bacterial LSU rRNA
Rfam family: Bacterial large subunit ribosomal RNA
Source: RNAcentral
AGCACCCCGACGAGGGGAGUGAAACAGUUUCUGAAACCGGACGCCUACAAACAGUUGGAGCCCCUUAUGGGGUGACAGCGUACCUUUUGUAUAAUGGGUCAACGACUUGGUCUUACUAGCAAGCUUAAGCCGAUAGGUGUAGGCGCAGCGAAAGCGAGUCUUAAUAGGGCGAAUGAGUUAGUAGGAUCAGACCCGAAACCGAGUGAUCUAGGCAUGAGCAGGUUGAAGGUAAGGUAACACUUACUGGAGGACCGAACCCACAUCUGUUGAAAAAGAUCGGGAUGACUUGUGCCUAGGGGUGAAAGGCCAAUCAAACUCGGAGAUAGCUGGUUCUCCGCGAAAUCUAUUUAGGUAGAGCGUCGCACGAAUACCUUGGGGGGUAGAGCACUGAAUGGGUAAUGGGGACUCACCGUCUUACUGAUCCUAAUCAAACUCCGAAUACCCAAGAGUAAUAUGCGGCAGACACACUGCGGAUGCUAACGUCCGUAGUGGAGAGGGAAACAACCCUGACCCUCAGCUAAGGCCCCUAAUUCAUGGCUAAGUGGGAAAGCAGGUGGGACGACCAAAACAACCAGGAAGUUGGCUUAGAAGCAGCCAUCUUUUAAAGAUAGCGUAACAGCUCACUGGUCUAAUUUAAGUUAUCCUGCGGCGAAGAUGUACCGGGGCUCAAGCCAUGAGCCGAAGCUAGGGAUGCAAUUUAUUGCAUGGUAGCGGAGCGUUCUGUGAUAUAGAACGCUGCGUCUUUAGUAUCUUAGGAUAUUGUGGACGCAAUGUUCUGACUGUGAAGCCGGCGCGUAAGCGAUCCGGUGGAGUGAUCAGAAGUGAGAAUGUUGACAUGAGUAGCGACAAACAGGGUGAGAGACCCUGUCGCCGAAAGUCCAAGGGUUCCUGCUUAAAGCUAAUCUGAGCAGGGUAAGCCGACCCCUAAGGCGAGGCCGAAAGGCGUAGUCGAUGGGAACCAGUUUAAUAUUACUGGGCCAGGAGAUGGUGACGGAUCGAAAGCGUAGUGACUCCUUAUCGGAUUGAAGUUGCUGCCGGACGGUUCCUGGAAAUAGCCCUCCAUUAGAUCGUACCCUAAACCAACACAGGUGGACUGGUAGAGAAUACCAAGGCGCUUGAGAGAACUACAUUGAAGGAACUCGGCAAAAUGCCUCCGUAAGUUCGCGAGAAGGAGGCCCCAUCAGAAGGCAACUUUUGGUGGGGGGCACAGACCAGGGGGUGGCGACUGUUUACUAAAAACACAGGGCUCUGCGAAGUCGUAAGACGACGUAUAGGGUCUGACGCCUGCCCGGUGCUGGAAGGUUAAGAGGAGGUGUGCAAGCACUGAAUUGAAGCCCCAGUAAACGGCGGCCGUAACUAUAACGGUCCUAAGGUAGCGAAAUUCCUUGUCGGGUAAGUUCCGACCUGCACGAAUGGCGUAACGACUUCCCCGCUGUCUCCAAUGUAGACUCAGCGAAAUUGAAUUGCCUGUUAAGAUGCAGGCUUCCCGCGGUUAGACGGAAAGACCCCGUGCACCUUUACUACAGCUUCACACUGGCAUUAGGUCAGACGUGUGCAGGAUAGGUGGUAGGCUUUGAAACUCGGACGCCAGUUCGGGUGGAGCCUUCCUUGAGAUACCACCCCUGUCUGUCUUGAUGUCUAACCGCGGUCCGUUAUCCGGAUCCGGGACCCUGUGUGGCGGGUAGUUUGACUGGGGCGGUCGCCUCCUAAAGAGUAACGGAGGCGCGCGAUGGUUGGCUCAGACCGGUCGGAAAUCGGUCGUCGAGUGCAAUGGCAUAAGCCAGCCUGACUGUGAGUCUGACAAGACGAGCAGAGACGAAAGUCGGUCAUAGUGAUCCGGUGGUCCCGAGUGGAAGGGCCAUCGCUCAACGGAUAAAAGGUACGCCGGG